CUGCUGCCUCCCGUAGGAGUCUGGUCCGUGUCUCAGUACCAGUGUGGGGGACCUUCCUCUCAGAACCCCUACCGCAUCGUCGCCACGGUGGGCCGGUUACCCCGCCCGUCUAGCUAAUGCGCCGCAUGCCCAUCCUCUUCCGAUGAAUCUUUCCUCGAUCUCGGAUGCCCGAAACCGAUAUACGCGGGAUUAGCCUCCCUUUCGGAAGGUUGUCCCCCUGAAGAGGGCAGGUUGCAUACGUGUUACUCACCCGUGCGCCGGUCGCCGG
RNAcentral lists this ribosomal RNA (268 nucleotides) under uncultured bacterium. Its description in RNAcentral is "partial 16S ribosomal RNA". The record is from RNAcentral.